CAAUAGCGUAUAUUAAAGUUGUUGCGGUUAAAAGCUCGUAGUUGGAUUUCUGCAUGGAAGGAGCGGUCCACCCUUUGGGUGAGUUACUGCUACCUUUUGUGCAUCUUUCUGAGAAGGCGUUCUUCACUUGAUUGUGAGGCCGCAUGACUCAGAACAUUUACUUUGAGGAAAUGAGAGUGUUUCAAGCAGGCAAAUGCCUUGAAUACGUUAGCAUGGAAUAAUAGCAUCGGACCAUCGUCCAGCUGUUGGUGUCUGGGCGAAGGUAAAGGUGAAUAGGGAUUGUUGGGGGCAUUCGUAUUUAACUGUCAGAGGUGAAAUUCUUGGAUUUGUUGAAGACGGACUACUGCGAAAGCAUCUGCCAAAGAUGUUCUCAUUGAUCAAGAACGAAAGUUAGGUGAUCGAAGACGAUCAGAUACCAU
This 419-nucleotide ribosomal RNA is filed under the name uncultured eukaryote. Its description in RNAcentral is "SSU rRNA". It matches the Rfam family "Eukaryotic small subunit ribosomal RNA", at positions 592 to 1018 of the family's 1831-position model. The record is from RNAcentral.